AUACGUAGGGGGCAAGCGUUGUCCGGAAUUACUGGGCGUAAAGGGCGUGUAGGCGGCCGAGCAAGUCAAGUGUGAAAAGCCCCGGCUUAACCGAGGCAUUGCACAUGAAACUGCUUGGCUUGAGUGCAGGAGAGGGAAGUGGAAUUCCUAGUGUAGCGGUGAAAUGCGUAGAUAUUAGGAGGAACACCAGUGGCGAAGGCGACUUCCUGGACUGUAACUGACGCUGAGGCGCGAAAGCGUGGGUAGCAAACAGGAUUAGAUACCCUGGUAGUCCACGCCGUAAACGAUGGGUACUAGGUGUGGGUAGUUCACUCUAUCCGUGCCGCAGCAAACGCAAUAAGUACCCCGCCUGGGGAGUACGGCCGCAAGGUUGAA
Molecule: ribosomal RNA, 375 nt
Filed under: uncultured bacterium
Lineage: Bacteria
Description: bacterial SSU rRNA
Rfam family: Bacterial small subunit ribosomal RNA
Source: RNAcentral